UACGAAGGGAGCUAGCGUUGUUCGGAAUUACUGGGCGUAAAGCGCACGUAGGCGGAUCGUUAAGUCGGGGGUGAAAUCCCAGGGCUCAACCCUGGAACUGCCUUCGAUACUGGCGAUCUUCGAGUCCGGGAGAGGUGAGUGGAACUCCGAGUGUAGAGGUGAAAUUCGUAGAUAUUCGGAAGAACACCAGUGGCGAAGGCGGCUCACUGGCCCGGUACUGACGCUGAGGUGCGAAAGCGUGGGGAGCAAACAGG
RNAcentral lists this ribosomal RNA (254 nucleotides) under uncultured bacterium. Its description in RNAcentral is "partial 16S ribosomal RNA". It matches the Rfam family "Bacterial small subunit ribosomal RNA", at positions 524 to 776 of the family's 1533-position model. The record is from RNAcentral.